This is a long non-coding RNA of Sardina pilchardus (European sardine), 337 nucleotides long. RefSeq lists it as uncharacterized. Lineage: Eukaryota; Metazoa; Chordata; Actinopteri; Clupeiformes; Clupeidae. The record is from RefSeq and is a predicted model, not a curated record. The transcript is spliced from 3 exons.
GCAAAGGUUUAUUAACUAUUCCUGAGUCUCUGUUUGCUACUAAAUGGGACAGAUCUUUUUCUGUGUUAGCUCCAACGCUCUGGAAUGCUCUGCCUCAGUAAAUAAGACCAACUCUCUUAAGAAUGAGGCAGGUGUUAUCCAUGCAAGAUGUGGGUCGGGAUUUCCAGGCUAUCAACAGUCGGCAUCACAUAAACAUCUCGACAAAAAAAGGAGUGACAUCAACAAAAGUCAAGUCAAGAUGGCGGCAAGUCAAGAUGGCGCCAUCACACCUCAAAGCUGAUCUCUCGUGAGCGGCCAAAGAGGGGCUCCGUUGGCCGGAAGGUGUCAGAAUAGCUUC